Long non-coding RNA from Anopheles gambiae (African malaria mosquito), 1663 nucleotides. RefSeq lists it as uncharacterized. Lineage: Eukaryota; Metazoa; Arthropoda; Insecta; Diptera; Culicidae. The transcript has 3 exons. The record is from RefSeq and is a predicted model, not a curated record.
CACACACAGCGCGCGUCAUAAUUUUAUGUGCGAAAAUCUUAAAAUUUAAUUAUUCAUGACAAAUUGUAUCGACAUUUUCAUACUCUGACGAACUUUUACGAAAGAUAUGUAAAAACUUAAUGUAGUGCAAUUAAAUUUAGUGCAAUAUCAUUAGCAGAACAUAAAAUUUUGAUAUUUGUUUGUAAAUUCAGAUCCUAAGAGCUACUACUUUUUUGAACAAUAAGUGUAGAAACACAAAUUUUGUCUGAGUCCAGAACAGCAACAGGGAAGAUGUCGUACCCUGAGUGUGGAGAUGUGUGUGUGUAUGUGGUGAACGUUGCCGCGACAAGCGUGCUUUAGGAUACAUCGCGUGUAGGAGGGGGUAAAAUCGUUUGGCUCAUUGAAAAUACAGGCAAAGUUGGCGCGAAGAAACCCAACCGGCAUUAUCGCGCGAUUUUUAUGUGUAUCUAUCAUUUUUCUCAUUCUAACAUUCAGAAAAAUUUUCAUUCUGUCUUGCUCUUCUGGGUGUUGGUCAGUUUUUGCUCGCAACUUGGCUGUGUCACACCAACCAUCCUCAUGUUUCAUAUGGUUCUUCUCUUUCCAUCGUUAGAGAGAAACUCUUGCGUCUCGCUUUUCUGGGACUUGUCCAAUUUCGCUUGCUACACCAAGCGUUCACGCAAGCGAUCUUCUCUCGUCCGCUCUUUGUAUCAUCUUGCAGGUACUCCCCGAUAUACGCUAUUAAUGCGGACCGGAGGCAAUAGCGUAUCUCGAAUAUUAGCAAAUGUCGAGUUUUCAGUCAAAUUAUAGCUAAUUUUCGUAUAAUUUUGCUUGAAGUGGUAGGAUUUACCACUUAAUUAGUUAUUUGAUCUGAUUCAACUGAAGAUUACAAUUGUACACCUUUUGAAAUGGCUUUUAAUAUUCGAUCAAAAGGGAAUUUAUUUAGAAUUUGAUAUUCGAUGUGUCAAAUUAGUACAAUUUGCUCAAAAAACUUUAAAAUUUAGAAAAAAAGCUUAUAGCGAAAUCGCGUAUAUCGAGUAUGGCGUAUAUCGGGGAAUACCUGUAUAGCCACCAGAGGAAGGCGCUGCUUCGCGUUCACAUGAAAAUGUGGUAGUGUGAAAUCAAGUUUGCAAGCGGUAGGCUACGUCGAUGCGUGCCCGUUUUUUUCUCUCGUGAAACCAGUACGGAAAAACUAUUUGCAAAUCGUAACACACGCACAAACGGAAGUGAGCACGGACCACGAUAGAAAUAAUUAAUUGGUUGUGCCAAAAACAAAAAGGACAGGAGAGGCAGGAACGAUCAUUCAACGCGUUAGCGCCGGACGAAGGAGAAGCGGCAGGAAGGCAGGAACGAUCCCCCAACGUGCUCGCGCUCCAACGUGCUCGCGAAGGCAGGAACGCGCCUGGUAGAGGAGAGGCGGCAGGAAGGUAGGGACGAUCAUCCAGCACGCUAGCGCAGCACUUGGGAACAGCGCGGGGGAGGCAAGCAGGAAUAAUUUUUAACGCGUGCACACCAUUCGACGAAGACAACGCUGGAUGAAAGGAAGAACGAGGAGAGAAGGCAGGCAAGACGGGUACGUGUGUAUUCCGCACCGGUUUUCGGCAGUGUGAAUUGUGUGAGUAUGUAAAUUUGUAUGUGCGAGUAAGAAGGUAAAAUAAAGAGCGUAAGCAUGUACGGAAUCGACAAA